RNAcentral lists this ribosomal RNA (460 nucleotides) under uncultured bacterium. RNAcentral describes it as "partial 16S ribosomal RNA". It matches the Rfam family "Bacterial small subunit ribosomal RNA", at positions 338 to 795 of the family's 1533-position model. The record is from RNAcentral.
CCUACGGGUGGCAGCAGUGAGGAAUAUUGGUCAAUGGGCGCGAGCCUGAACCAGCCAAGUAGCGUGAAGGAUGACUGCCCUACGGGUUGUAAACUUCUUUUAUAAAGGAAUAAAGUGAGGCACUUGUGCCUUUUUGUAUGUACUUUAUGAAUAAGCAUCGGCUAACUCCGUGCCAGCAGCCGCGGUAAUACGGAGGAUCCGCGCGUUAUCCGGAUUUAUUGGGUUUAAAGGGAGCGUAGGUGGGGUGUUAAGUCAGUUGUGAAAGUUUGUGGCUUAACCGUAAAAUUGCAAUUGAUACUGGCAGUCUUGAGUACAGGAGAGGUAGGCGGAAUUCGCGGUGUAGCGGUGAAAUGCUUAGAUAUCACGCAGAACUCCGAUUGCGAAGGCAGCUUACUAAACUGCCACUGACAUUGAGGCUCGAAAGUGUGGGUAUCAAACAGGAUUAGAUACCCGUGUAGUC